Molecule: long non-coding RNA, 316 nt
Filed under: Lactuca sativa (garden lettuce)
Lineage: Eukaryota; Viridiplantae; Streptophyta; Magnoliopsida; Asterales; Asteraceae
Description: long non-coding RNA (LSAT_LNC001965)
Source: RNAcentral
AAGUUUCUUCCACUGAAACCACACCAAAGCAGUUCAAUCGGAAUAAGAGGAACUGUUGGGUAUGCAGCACCAGGUAACCUGUAAACACAAUCGUUUGUGAAAUUUAUUAUUAUUGGAAUAUGAAACUGUAAAAUUGAUGAUAACAUGCAGAGUAUGGAGUUGGAAGCGAGAUGACAAAAGAAGGAGAUAUUUACAGUUUUGGGAUUUUGUUGUUAGAGAUGAUGACAGGAAAGAGACCUACAGACCAAAAUUUCGAAGAAGGGUUGAACCUCCAUUGCUAUGUGAUGAUGGCGUUGCCUGAUCGUCUAAUGGAAAU